CCGCCCGCCGAGCUCACCGCACCGCCGGGAACUUUCCAGGGACUGCCCUGGAGACAGCCCCCAGCAGUGCCUCCGUGCUGGACCCAGGCUCCCAGGCCCCCGUGUGACCGAGCUCCGGUUCAGCUCCUCCAGCCGGAAUCCCAUUUUCUUGGGAUCCGUGGCCUCACGGGAGGCUCCGUAGCUGUCCUGGCACCGGGGACGUCCCGUCGGGCCACCGGGUCAGAGCAGCGGUGCUCACUGUGUGAGCCGCAGCUCGCAGCCGCCGCAGGCUCCAGCGAAGCUCUCCGCCGUGAGCCACCAGAUCUCCCGAGGAUGUGAGAGCGUCAGACCCCCCCAGAUGCUAGAGGCUGGAGCAGGCAUCCCGUCCCAGGGUCUCUCCUUCCCCGGCAGAAGCUCACUGCUGACAUCACCACCUCCCAGGCCCGGCUCUGGGAGCGCCGUUCUCCGUUCCACGCUCGUGUGUUCGACGGGACCGUGACCUCUCGUUUGCCAGAUGCCUCCCUGAUGAUUCCCGACGGACAGGAGAGUGAAGCCUGUGGGCCUGAACCCAGAGCGCACACGCGUGGCUUCGUGGCUCACCAGGCAGCGGCCAGAACCUACAUGCGUCCCGCACUUGGAACUGACCUCUUCCCCGUGCUCCCCUCGAAAGUCCUCCCUCCUCCACACCACUUUCACUCAUUCUCAGUUUUCCCAGGACUCUGACUCUGCUUCCCGCCUCCCUCUCUCCUGCGCCCUUUUUCCUCAUAGCCCCCCUCAUUACUUAGGGGCACGCCGUCAGCACCCCCACAAGACUGUACUUGAUCUCAGUCCUUCUUAUGCUGUUUGUGACUCUCUACUCUGUAUUAUCGUUAUCUCUGGGCCGUCCCCAUCACCCCGAGUCACUGUGAAUAUCCAGAGGGCAUAGUUCGUCUGAUUCGUCUUUGCUGACUCUCUUAAAGCACCCGCAGCAGGUCCAGACCCUAGGGAUAGAGUGAGCUGUGACGUACUACCCAGGAGAAUUAUACCUGUGUUUCCACCAUUCUUUAGAAAGAAUUUGAAGGGGCACCUGGGUGGCUCAGUGGGUUACGCCUCUGCCUUCAGCUCAG
This is a long non-coding RNA of Mustela erminea (ermine), 1085 nucleotides long. RefSeq lists it as uncharacterized. The record is from RefSeq and is a predicted model, not a curated record. NCBI's taxonomy places the organism in Eukaryota, Metazoa, Chordata, Mammalia, Carnivora, Mustelidae. The transcript has 3 exons.